Molecule: ribosomal RNA, 243 nt
Filed under: uncultured bacterium
Lineage: Bacteria
Description: partial 16S ribosomal RNA
Rfam family: Bacterial small subunit ribosomal RNA
Source: RNAcentral
UAACGCGUGAGGAACCUGCCUUUCAGAGGGGGACAACAGUUGGAAACGACUGCUAAUACCGCAUAACGCAUGGGUAUCGCAUGGUAUCUGUGCCAAAGAUUUAUCGCUGAGAGAUGGCCUCGCGUCUGAUUAGCUAGUUGGUGAGGUAACGGCCCACCAAGGCGACGAUCAGUAGCCGGACUGAGAGGUUGGCCGGCCACAUUGGGACUGAGAUACGGCCCAGACUCCUACGGGAGGCAGCAG